CGGCUUCACCCCGGGCACCACGGCCCGGCCCUCGAUCUUAAACCGCUCCCCGGGGCCCGCGCCGCCCGACGGUUCCGCCGGCCCGAGGGGCUCCGAGCCGCGGGCGCUCCGGGGCAGCGGCGCCGCCGAGAGCCAGAGCAGCGCCAGGCUCAGGAAGGUUAUGUGCUGUGGAGAAUUGGCUCACAUCUGACUGGAGGUCAGAGCAACACAAGAAGCUGCAAGCACUGUCAUAGGAUGUUCUACCAGAGAGAAGCUUGUUCAGGAACCAAGCGUGUGACAUGCUCACAGAGCAGGUCUAGAAGUUGUCUGCCCUGCAGAGAGUCUGGGAAAUCCUGCAUCUGACAUGUGAAGGGCUGCAGUAAUUCAGACAGCAUUAAGCAGUUGCUUAAAUUAUGCUACUGUUACUUCUGUGCUAGGAGGACCUGAAGAAAGGAAGGCCAAAAGCAGCAGAAAUCCUCUUCCUGGCUGGAAGUUGAACUAUUUCUGGCCUAUCAGAAAGUUGAUGCUGGUUUUCAGGGAGGUGAAUGAAAAAACCCACUAAAGAUUGAUUUACACCAUUUCAAAGCUUACUGUUCCUUAAUUUUUUUUUUGGGGGGGGGUAGGGGAGCUUUAGUUUACACAAUUUAUAGUGGAAUUUAAAAGUAUAACAAUGCAAGUGUUACAAAUGCAAGUAUAACAAAACAAGGAGUUGGAGUAGCAAUUUCUGAUGAUAAACAUUUUCUUUGGUGUAUUAAAAAUGUUACAAAAGCUGUUACAGUGUGUACUAUUAGCAAACUAAAUAAGACUCAAACUGAGUAUGAAAAGUAGUAAGAGCUGUGAGCUCACAAUAUUUGACAAAGCAAAAGGAACACAGCUGGGUCUUAAACUCCUUUUCUCAUUUACAGAGAAAAUUACAGUGGCUCUGAAUUGUAGUGAAGUUUCAGCAGUACCUGUAGAAACCUUUUUCCUUUAAACAAAAUCUGUCAAUUGUUGAGAAGCUGAGAACUGUAACACUUCUUGGUUUUAAGUUCAUUUGUACACACCUUUUUCAUACAAGGCUGGCAUUUGAGAUACAUAACCCUACAUGCACACAGCUGAUACCUAAACAAGUUUACCAAGUUGCUACUUCUUUGAAAUUCAACACUUAGAAGAAUAAGUGUUGGCAACUUUUUCCUGCUGUCUUCUUUCAAUGUAUUGACCUGUAAUUCUCCUGUAACUCUUUUCAAGCUAUUGUUGAAAAGCAACUUUUCUUCUGUCCUUCAAUUUUUGUCUUGUUUAUCUGAAUGAAAUAAUUUGGAGGUUCAUUACACUUUCAGUAAGCUAAACAUGAAUCUUGUUUUUAUCUUUAAAGUGCAUUCCUGUUUGUGUGGGUUUUUAUGCUGAAUCAGACUGUGCAAGUAAAGGCAUGCCUUAAUGAACCUGAGUUUGUACAUGACAGAAAACUGCUCAAAUGUCCCACUGUGGGGAACUGCACACAUUAUCUAUCAUUAAUCAAUGGCAAACAAGCUCAUUUUCUAUGUGUUGUUACAUUGCUAUUCAGUGUGCUAAACAAUUUCAUUAAAGCUACAUGAUUAACA
Molecule: long non-coding RNA, 1556 nt
Organism: Serinus canaria (Common canary)
Lineage: Eukaryota; Metazoa; Chordata; Aves; Passeriformes; Fringillidae
Exons: 2
Source: RefSeq, a predicted model, not a curated record